AUUCACAAGACAUCGAACUACAACGGAUCUGCGCAGUGUGGCGUGAAUUCUUCGAAGCAAGACUGAUUUAUUGGAAAACUUUGGACAGAUUGAUUAUACACUUGAAUCUGGUCGAGGUACAGAUUUUAUCCCUUUACUGUAUAGCACGCUUGAAAAUGUGAAUAGAACCAGAUUUCGCUGCACUGUGUUUCGGUAUCAACCGGUGACGACACACCCGAUCACAAAGAGAUCAUAAUUAUUGUUGCAUGUUCUUUACCAUAUAGCUUUCCCAUGAAUACCAACUCAACCCACUAUCCCCCCCAUCAGGUUGUUGGUUGUUUUCCCUGAGUCAGGCCUUGGUCAAAAAGGUCUAUGAUAAUUAUUGACACACACACACACACAUAUACGAACCUGUCUAUAAAAGCGAACACUUCGUUAGUUGGAAAAUUGGAAAAAUCAGCAAAGAGUCGAAUAGUUCGAAGGGAUCGACAGAAUUUCCAGACUCUAUCCUUCAAAACUUCCAGACACCAUGGAUUUCUCAGCAGGUAAGAAGAUGUAUUUUAAACAAUUGAAAUAGUUCAUUAUAAAUUGAAAUGCAAUGUUUAUGUAAUUAUCCAUUUGAUAUUGAUAUUGAUAUAAAUCUAAAACUAUUCUUUCUGAAUACAACAAUCAUCAUCCUUAUCUGGUCAUUAUGUAAACGGGUACGCUACUAUAUCUAAAUUUAGUGUUCAAUACACUUAUAUUACAGAGCAAGACCGAACUAAGCUCGUCUGAUUCUAGUGUAUAGGAUAACGUAUCAAACGAAUGCGAGUCUACAAGAUAACAGUGCCGUCAUAAUUUCUGACGAUGAAAUUUCCGAGACAUCUGAUCGAAGCCUUUUGAAUCUGAGCUCUACACCACAAAUGAAAAUCCCUCUCUAGACGAGCAGAUUUGUCAGAUGAAACCUUUUCCUUCUUAUCCACUGCUACGGUAAACUAAAGAGUAGAUUUUCAAAUUACACUGCUAAAUAUGACUAGCAUUAGCUACGUGUAGUAGUGCAAAAAUAGUCCAUCAACUGUAUUAGCAGGUGUAGCCUAUACACGAGUCCACUGCUGGUCAUAUCACUAUUGAGAACGUGUCCCAAAUUCACUGCUUUAGUAGAAUUUAAUUGUAAGUGAAAUGAUGCUCACACUGUAAUGUCCUUUGUAUUUGUUCAGUCCACAGGUCCUCUAACACUCUGUUAAAUGAAUAAAUGUAAAUGUACUACAACGUAGAUUUUGUUUUAAAUCAAUUAAUGCAGAAAUUACACACAAUAUUAUCAACAUUAUUAUGUCAACACAACUCAUCAAAAUAAUGUGUACAACUUUAAAUAUUUAAUGAAUUCAAUAAAUUAGAAUUUUUAUCUUGCAACCACACAUUAAAUUUAGAUUGUGGGGGUUUGCUUUGUAUAGCGCCGCUGUUAGAAAAUACAUGAUGGUUGAACGUGAACAUAAAUGAGCAGAAUGUAAGCUUGUGAAAUAAAUGAAACUUUAUUGAUUGCAGUUUUGAGAAAAUGGCAUGACUUUGAAUAAAAAUUUACUGAAAUAAAUACUCUAAAACAUUGAUAUACCCGAAGAAAUGUAAAAAAAAAAAAAAAAAAAAAAAAAAAAAGUUUUUACAUACCUUCUAAAUAGGUCCCUUCAGGAGGUAAACGUUUUAAAGACGGUGUUUUAUAAGAAACGCGCGUAUUACAUGCCUUCUAAACCUAACCCUUUAGGAUGUGAAAUGUUUAAAGUGUUGCUUAAAAGAAUCGAGAGUUUUGUUUAAACUAGAAGACACAUUUUUCGGGCGAUGUCUUGUAGGCCCAUACACACUCUCCUACACAUGUGUUUUCCCGGGGUGACAGUUCUGUAGAUAGUGUAAAUUUUACAUUUAUGAGCUCUGGUGACAGUGUCUGAAGUGUGUGUGUAUGUGGGUGUGGGGGUGUGCGUGCGUGUGUGUGGGUGUGUUAGAAAGAGAGAGAGAGAGAGAGAAGAGAGAGAGAGAGAGAGAGAGAGAGAGAGAGAGAGAGAGAGAGAGAGUGAGUCAUGUGUUUCCUGGGGGUUUGCUGACCAGACUGCUUACAGUGUGUUUAUGUUAAUGAAAUAAGGGAUGAGUCGUGUGUUUCAGGGUUUAACGAUCCCUACCAAUGUGUACAUUUGUGGUUUAAGUGAAUCUUUGUUUCUGAAAUUACUUCUGUCGUAAUUAUCAGUUCGUGUAACUAAUCUAUCAGAAAAUACUAGACCUGGUGACUGAAUGUGGUAGAUGUAUUAGAAUUUUGGACAUGUUAUGCAUGUGUAGCGUAUACCUGUGUACCCUAUGUGUAUGAUCUAUGUGUAAUCCUUCUGUCAAGAGAUGAACAGACUGAGGUUUGUGAAAUAAUUGAACGAUUUAUUGGCUAGGUUGUUGAGAAAAACACUGUGAUGUGUAAAACAUUUCUACAGUCCUUCAAGGCUGUAUGAUGUCGUUGUUCUCUUUUACUGAAAGACAGGUCAAAACCAUUCGUUGUGGAGACUGAAGUGACAAUAUGUCUGAAGAAAAUGAAAAUAUGUAUUACAUAUCCUACCUUCUAACCAGGUUAUUUUAAGGGUGAAAAAAACUUUUUUAAAGACCGUGUUUUAAAAGAAUCGUGCAUUUUGUUUAAACUAUAAACAAGAUUUCAGAAAAUGGUUCGCCAGUGAGGAUACUUACACAGAACUGUCGCUAAAAACAUAAGCUUUUGUCUAUGCUUUGACAUCCCAUGUCCCAGCACUACAUUUAUGACCUCUGGUGACCAUGUGGGUGUGUGUGGGUGUGUGUGUGUGAGAGAGAGACACACACAGGUGUUCUUUUGGGGGUUUUGCUGACCAGAAUUCUUACAAAUGUUUUUGUUAAUGAAUUAAAGGGAGUCGUGUGUCUCAGUGUUAAAAUAAUGGUUAAGACGUUGUGGUUAAAACACAGAAGAAACUCUGCAACUAUCUGUUACAAUGCCUACAGUGUCUGGAAUGUAUGGGAACCCGAUUUAACAUAAAUAUAUAUUUUUAUGACCUACCUCAGAGCGUUAGAAAGAACAUGUGUUUGCAACGUGUGUGGUGUCUGGAAUACAUAUGGCCGUACCAUGUGUGGUAACGUUUGUGUCAGGAAUAGCUGGGAACCCGAUCUAACAUAACUAUAUAUAUUUUUAUGACCUACCUCAGAGUGUUAGAAAGAACAUGUGUGCAACGUGUGUGGGUGUUGUUGUAACUAAUUUGGUAUACUAAAUAUGGAAAGCAAGAAAAUAACCACAGGAGACAGAGGAAAAGUAAACUACCGCAUUUAUUGGGAAUAAGGGGGGCUGGUAGGAGAGUAAGAGGGACUGGCAGGGGAAUAAGAGGGAGAAAAGACUGAUGGUAAGGGGUAUGCCCUGGAGAGGGAAUUGGACUCAACGGGUCAUCGGAAUACUCCGAACUGGGGGAAUCCAUGUUCUCCAUUGCCUCAUAGUCAUCAGCAGAGUACAAAGAAGGUGUGUCGGCGACAGGACCCGUCUGAGUGGAGGCAUCGACAAGGAUAGCAGCUGGGCUAAGCCGAUACCGCAAAGGAGGAGGAAAGGUAGACGUUGUAGACGGAGUGCGUAGGACGUCAACCAAGAGAGCAAGGUCUGCAAAUAGGUGAGACAGCUGGGAGCUAUCUAUAGAUCUAUGGACACACACACACACAGAAGGUAAGGGAGAAAGAAGAAUGAAAACAAGACCAGGAAAAAGGGCAAUAAGAACCUGAAAGUCACAGAUAAAUACAUAUGGCCGUACCAUGUAUGGUAACGUUUGUGUCAGGAAUGUAUAAGGAGAACGAAGGGAUCACGUUGGAUCCGAAAUCUAUCACCGUUAAUCCUACCAAAAGAUCCGUGGCUAAACUCGCACUAAACUCGUUGUGGGGUAAGAUGUGUCAAAGACCUGACAGAUCAAACACGACCUUAAUUCGCGAUGCUACCGAGUUUUUACAGUUCAUGUUCUCCGAUAUUUAUAAUGUGAGUCAGUUCUCUUUUUUGAAUGAGAAGGUGGCGAUGGUGCAGUGGCGUUGCACAGACGAGAGACUGAUUAAACCGCUGAACGCUAAUGUAUUCAUCGGAAAUUUCACUACCACAUACGCUAGACUCGAGCUGUACAAUUUGAAAGAUCGAUCGGAUCAGCGUUGUCCAUUCUAAUAAUGUAGUCAAAAUCCUUGCACCAUUUUCGGAACUUUUUCCAGUCACACUCGUUAAAAGUUACGCUCUCAGUAGCGCAGCUCCAGUGGAUGUGACCCGGGAUUGAAAACUUGAAAAGCACAACGGUUCCUUUUUCUGCACUGAAAAAAAAUCUGGCUGUACAUCCGUUUGACAUUACCCAAUAUUGAAUCUUUUCAUGCUCUAAAUUUUUUUGUAAUCUUCCCAAAAAAUAGUGAGGUAUUUCACUAUGUGAAUACCUAAAACCACUAUGUUUCGGUGCAUCAGGACAAGCAGCAGACAUGUUGUAAGCUCACGCACGAUCUUCGAAGUACAGAGUAUUUUUAAACCUAGAGGGUGGGUGAGGCCGUCUUCUUCUAUAAACUUACGGUGCUUAUAACGUCACCUACCGGAUGGAGCAAUUUUAUUUUCUUUUGUUCUGAUUGGACAGGUUAUGUGUGUGUGUGUGUGUGUGUGUGUGUGUGUGUGUGUGUGUGUGUG
Long non-coding RNA from Ictalurus punctatus (channel catfish), 4633 nucleotides. The record is from Ensembl. NCBI's taxonomy places the organism in Eukaryota, Metazoa, Chordata, Actinopteri, Siluriformes, Ictaluridae.